This 467-nucleotide ribosomal RNA is filed under the name Microbacterium sp. 'ARUP UnID 402'. Its description in RNAcentral is "bacterial SSU rRNA". It matches the Rfam family "Bacterial small subunit ribosomal RNA", at positions 27 to 506 of the family's 1533-position model. The record is from RNAcentral. Lineage: Bacteria; Bacillati; Actinomycetota; Actinomycetes; Micrococcales; Microbacteriaceae.
GGAUGAACGCUGGCGGCGUGCUUAACACAUGCAAGUCGAACGGUGAAGCCCAGCUUGCUGGGUGGAUCAGUGGCGAACGGGUGAGUAACACGUGAGCAACCUGCCCCGGACUCUGGGAUAAGCGCUGGAAACGGCGUCUAAUACUGGAUACGAACCACGAAGGCAUCUUCAGUGGUUGGAAAGAUUUUUUGGUCUGGGAUGGGCUCGCGGCCUAUCAGCUAGUUGGUGAGGUAAUGGCUCACCAAGGCGUCGACGGGUAGCCGGCCUGAGAGGGUGACCGGCCACACUGGGACUGAGACACGGCCCAGACUCCUACGGGAGGCAGCAGUGGGGAAUAUUGCACAAUGGGCGCAAGCCUGAUGCAGCAACGCCGCGUGAGGGAUGACGGCCUUCGGGUUGUAAACCUCUUUUAGCAAGGAAGAAGCGAAAGUGACGGUACUUGCAGAAAAAGCGCCGGCUAACUACGU